AAAAUGCAAUUCUUGACUUGAGAUGAAUCAGUUCCCCAAUUUAUACUUCAUUCGUGGAAACUGGGUCUUGGGCAACAUCUCAGCAAUUCCUUCCAAUCUGAAGUUCUCUCAUCUGCUGGUAACCGGUCCAUUCCUAUUGGCGUUCAAGCAAUCACAAACACAUCCUACUUUUGAGAAAUGUUCCAAAGGAGGAGUCAAAGCGGCUGUAAUCUUGAUUCGGUUUUAUGGGCAAUAGAAUUAUUUUACUGAUUCCUGGAAUCAUGGCUCCUAUACAUCUGCACUCUAUGAGCACUUUGGAAAUUAAAGGAUUGCCAGCUUUUCCACUUUGGGACAAAAAACAUUUGUGCUAAACAGCCGAGUCAAUCUACUGAGGUCCUACAAUUCUCUUCAUUGACCUGAACAAACUCGACUCUGCUUUUCCCUUAAAUUUCUGUACAGAACCCUGACAACUCGUCUAUACUUUCUGUUAUUGAUUUCCCCCAUGCGCCUAAGUUUCUUAUGACUUCUGGAUUCUCCUUUUGGCUUUGCAGAACACCCCUACUUCCAAACUCUAGAGUAAAAUUCCUGUGAAGACUGAUACCUCAGAAGUGACUGCUUCACAGAUAGACAUCUAAUUUUUUAAUUGAGAUUUCAACUAUUUAACACUUACCGUGUUAACUCAUGACACUCUCCUCCAUUUGCUCAUAAACAACAAAACAAUAACAAAAAUGAAUGCUCACUGAGUGCUACAGAAUGCAAACUAUUAAAGAUACAGAAAUAAUGAAUAGGACUUCUGACCUUGAGUGGUUGGUAAAUAAAACAGAAAUAUAAAAAAUGAAAUAAAUAAUUAGGGUUACUGCCACUAGAGAAACAGAUCACAGGCUACAGAUUACUACUGGCCCUAUGAAGCAGGAAGACAGCACAGGUAUAGCAAGGGACCUUUUAUAUGUAGGUAGAACCUUAUUGUAGGUAAUGGUGAAAGCCAGUGAGCCCUUGCUCUGGGCUGCUCUGGUGAAUUGGCACUCCCUUCACUGUUUCGCUGACUAGACCUCAAGUACCCUCCAUGAGAGACUAGGGAGGCCUUGUGGAGCUGUGUCCUGUUUUCUACUUGCAUGAAUUAUUUGCAUUGCUUGUUUGUGAGUUUUAGCAAAAUAAACUGAAUGCAGACAAUGCCAUGUCCAAGUAAUCUUGCUUGGCAAUGUUUGAAUCUCUAUCAG
This 1196-nucleotide long non-coding RNA is filed under the name Homo sapiens (human). RNAcentral's name for it is "HSALNT0061935". Lineage: Eukaryota; Metazoa; Chordata; Mammalia; Primates; Hominidae. The record is from RNAcentral.